CCACAAGGAGGAAACCUAGAUAGUGUAACCCAUCAGAUUUUUCUCAGUUUUGUUUUAAUGUGUAUGCGUUAUUUACUGUCGUGAGUCACUUUGAGUCCCUUUUGCUUUUUUAAAACGUGACUAAUAAAUUUAAAUAUUGAUAUUGAAUCAAAACCAACUAUCUCCCUUGUCUUCUUCUUUUCCCUUAGGGUUUGCCCUCUAUUCUCAGCAAUCUGCCAGGCGUGGUGAACCCUGGACCUGGAGGUGUUGGUGGCCCAUUUCUGAUCCCUUAUCCUGGAAUUCCUGGGGCGAAAUAGCAUCCCAGCUGAUAUACCCUCCUGCGGUAUGUACCAAAUGUUUUGUUGGCAAAUUCCAUUUCAUAUCAUUUAUAGCUUUGCUGCUUUAUGAAAUGCUUAACUGCCAGCAAGCCAAAGCACAUGGCUUAUGUUUAAUACUAGUAUGCCAAAACCUGUACACAGCAUCCCGUCAUGUGUGCCAACUUCCACUUAUUCAGGACACAUUCCAGUGAAUGUUUAAAAAUGCUUAAGGCUACAAUCCUAUUCCAUAUACCUGAGAGCAGGUUUCAUUGUAUCCCCAAGUAAAAACGCAUAAAAUUGGGCUGGGUAUCCCAUGGCUUUCAGUGAGAGAAACAGAAACCAAUGAGAUUUUCAAGGACUUUGCUUUGGCUGAACUGGAGAGCAGAUUUGUAGCGCCAUGAGACAAGUGACCAGGGCCAGCCCCAAGACAUUUUGGAUGGCCGAGGAAAGCCACAAAUAGGGACCCCCC
RNAcentral lists this long non-coding RNA (765 nucleotides) under Podarcis muralis (Common wall lizard). RNAcentral's name for it is "lncRNA (ENSPMRG00000020364.1)". The record is from RNAcentral. Lineage: Eukaryota; Metazoa; Chordata; Lepidosauria; Squamata; Lacertidae.